Molecule: long non-coding RNA, 8880 nt
Organism: Mus musculus (house mouse)
Lineage: Eukaryota; Metazoa; Chordata; Mammalia; Rodentia; Muridae
Product: predicted gene, 34090
Exons: 2
Source: RefSeq, a predicted model, not a curated record
UGUGUGUGUGGUGUGUGUGUGGUGUGUGUGUGUGUGUGUGUGGUAUGUGUGUGGUGUGUGUGUGAUUGUGUGAUUACUUACUAUUAGGAUAGCAUUCCUCUCCGGAAGCUAAUAGUUUUAACUUCUGAAUUUCCAAAUUUCCCUACAGUAAACAUACCGGUUUUAUGUUCAACAAAAUGUGAUUUUGACUUCUUAAGGACUGUGUGGAGAGGGACUGUGGUAGAUGGACUGAGUUCUCAGCCCCUCACUAUUAAGAAAGCAGUCCCCCCUCCCCACUUCACACUUAAUCAUAAGCCUCUCCGACUUCCUAUCAUUGUCUUUCUUGGGUAUUUUUGAGCUGAAUGAAAGCUUGCUAGCAUGUCUACAUCGUAUGCACACCUCCAGCUUGCACCUACAACCAUGGCGAGUCCAUGUGACUUCUAAGUGCAGAGCUGGAGGAUGGGCCACUAGGCAGGCAUGGCAAACAGGCGGCAGGGAGUCCCUGCAGACAAAGUCCUGUGUCCUGGAAAGGAACUCCCCAGACACUGCUGUGCAUCACACGACCGCAGCAAAGUGGGAAGGGAAAGAAUGCUGACUGGGUUUGUGUUUGGGCCUCAGAGACCCUUGGCUGCUGGGGUGCUGGCUACAGGCAGAACAGUGGCCACAGGGAAGGAGUCUGUGGCUACUCUCCCCACCUCUGCAAUGCCCUUGCCUCCUGCAGACAGGGGCACUUUUAAAGCUCGGCUCAUUUCAGCUCUAAGCAGGAUGUAUCUCUGGCCUGGAGAGAGCCCAGAUUAUAUAGUUAAUGGAACGUCAUGUUUUCUCAACCAGGAGCAAAGACCGUAUAAUGAUAACCUAGAACGCCACAGUAACACAAUAGGGCGUUAUUAAGAGCUCUGGCAACUGGGCCGCACAGGGCUCUACACUGAUGGAAUUUCAUGUUUAUAUAAACAUGCUUUUCUGGUUAGAGUUGGGAAGAGUAGUUUGCUGGGAAUUCAAUCAGGGAUUUGAAAAGUCAGCCUUGGAAGGCCCCAUCUAGAGAAGAACAGCGGAGUCUCUCUUGAGUCUACUGUGAAUCUCCAGGACCCACCAUGGACAUGGAUACACUGUUCUUUCCUGGCAGGGUCCUUUUCAUGCCACGUAUUAAUUUUCUUUAUAUAGAAGGAGAUGGAGAAUUUUCCAACUCCGGUCUCAGGGAAGUGCUGGCCAUGAUACAUGUGCCAUGAAGACUUCAACAGCAGAACACUGAGAGAGACCACGGGGUGAAGGGUGGGGGCUACAGGGCAAGACUUACUUUUUGUUCAGCCAGUGUCUCUAUCUCUUUUCCCCCAAACAAAGGAAGCUCGCUUUCUCAAGCGUCCAUUGGGCAUUCCAAGGUGGUACUCAUCUGCAGGGCUGUGAGGGAGUGUGGCACCCCAGGGACAUGGACACAUGAGUAAUGGAUGCAGAGUGAUGCUUGUCAUCCUACACUGGAACUUCACUAGGUAGAGCAUUGUUUUCCUGGAAGAGACCUGGAUUUCUAACAGCUAACUUACACAGGAAAUUUUGAGAGUAUGAAGUUCAGUGAGCUUCUCAGACCCACAUGCUUUCACAAGGGACAGAGGAGCACUGUCUGGAGUGGUAGACAGGUUGAUCCCUAGUCUGUAGAUGGUAGGAAGUUUUGUUCACUAUCCCCCUGAGUUAGAACUGCCCAGAAUCACAACUAGAUCCUGGCAGAGCAACAGAGCAGGACUUUCCUGCUCGCGACUCCCAGCCUGGUCCCUUCUGCUCAUCUCUACCCAGCACCAUUGGGCUGUAAUAGGAAGCACACAACAGUGCAGCCAGUGAGAUCCAGUGGGUUCCAGGUGCAGCCAGUGAGAUCCAGUGGGUUCCAGGAAUUGAAAAUCCUUGCACCAGAGUUUCAGUAAAUCAUGGAACCCAAGCAGUUAAGACUGCUUAAUUUACGGAGCAGCUGCUAGACCACCGUUCAUCAGUUGCUGCUGGUAGGGAAUUCUUCACGCUCCUGCCAACACCCCUUCCCACCUCCCAGAGACCUGGGGCUGGUGAUUCACACUCUGGGGUGUGAUCUGUAUUCUGCACUUAAAGGUCCAAUGAGUUAGUAGCUUGUUCAGAUUGAAUUUGACAGAAAAGAGAAAUUUAAGCUUGCAGAUGUGUCAAGGCACACAGAUGUAGCUUGCUUUCUGAAAUGCCUUGGAAGGUCCUUUAGAGGAAGGAGAAUGUAAAGCAAGUGCCAAGAGAGGGGAGCAGGGUGCACUAGAGCAUACCUUGGACAAGCGAGACAGUAACCUUAAAAGACACCAGGAUGGACUUCUCUGCAGGGCCAGGAUGUCACUUUGUUCAAAUGUUCCAGCAGUUUGGUUCCAGGUUUGAAGAGGGCCUAUCAGUUGGUAAGACUGCCUGCAAAUAGGAAGGCUCAGUGUGUAGACGAAAACUAAGAACAAUGAAAGCGUUUGUUUUGUGUUUCUGUCUGGGUGAAUACUUUAUCUCUACUAUUCUUAACUCUGGAGACCUGGGAAAGCUCAGAGUUACGCUGAGAAUAGAGUCCAGGGGGCUGGAAGAAGGCAUCUGACCUAUAAUUAUAACCUAUAAUCAUCUCCUAGCAUGCUAGGGACAAACUCUGGCAUCCCUUGGACGACAGUGCUGACACACAAAUGCAGAUUAGACUUGCUUUAUGUGUUAUGCUAACAUAAAUGGGUUUUGGGUGUCAGAACAAGAGACCAGACUUAGUCACUUGUACUAAUUGAAUUAUUCCAUAACUCAAGAAAAAGAGGAUAUUUGGACAUUUUGACAUGUUUUUUAGACAUGCCAGGUUCUCAUUGAAAAAGUCAUUCGACUUCUUCCAUUACACUUGGCUUAUUCUUUUCAUGUACUUGGCAUAGAUAUGUUCGCAAUAGCGAUCAAAGUGAUUGAAGCUCUUGGCUCAGCAAUGAAAGUCCGGAUAGCACAGAGCCUACAGCAUGCCACGUCCUGUCUCGGGAGGUGCAAAGAAGGCUGAAGCCGGAAGCUGUCUGGACCGGUGGCCUUUUAGGCAGAGGACAUUAGAAGGACUCUGGGAUUCAAAAGCUGAGGGCUCCAGUGUGGAUUUGGGGCAGGGCGGGAAAAGUCAAGUUUAGAACAGCAGGGAGAAUAACAAGUGGCAGUCACAGCCUGGCUCCCUGCCAGGCUCUGUGGCAUCAAUGGUGCCUGUACAUUUAGCCCUUGCAGUCCCUGUAACAUCUGAACAGUCACCGUCGCCACUUCACUGGUGACGAAACUGAAGUGGAGGCCGAGACUACUUUAAGUGGUAAAGCCGACCCCAAACCCAUUAUUUCCUCGAAAGGUGCAAAGAUUGAGAAGUCAAAAGAUCAUGAAAUCAGUCAGGAGACAAGCUAGGUUAUGCUGUGGUAAUGAGUAACCUUCGAGUCCUAGUCACGGGUUACACUCAGGGCUGUCCUGGACAGCUGCAGAGGAAACCAAUGUUGGAGGAGGGAAGUGACGCAAAUCCUCCCACUCACAGCCCACUGGUCCAAACUGGCCAUGUGUCCUCACCUUGUGGAAAGGGACUGAAGGAAUGUACACUAGGGGGAAGAAAUGCCAGAUACGUGUGGGCAUUCGCAGCCUCUACUGCAAGCAUAAUUACAUAGUCUGCAGGCCUGCGUAAGCAAGAAUAGCAGCUACAGUGGGACACAGAGCCAACACGUCUGGAGGGGGUCAGUUUGGAGCUGGAUCUAGGGCAUAUUAAUCAAUCAGAAGUUACUACUGGCAUAGCACUUCAGAUCUUCCUGGGAGGUGGUGAUGCCCUUCCAUUCUUCCCUUCUCCCAUCCCCCAUACUUAAGAGAAAACCUUUAAUGCCAUGGGUAUUAAGAACAUUAAAUCAGUCAGGGCAGGCUAUCCAGUGUUUGCUGUGGUGAUGAGCAGUCUGCAAACAUCAGUGACAGGCUACACCAUGAUUACAUGAACAGGGAGUGAGAUGCCAGAUGUGGUUCUCUGCCACCUAAGUGCUCCAUGAGUAUAUGGGAAGGACAAGAACUCCUCUGUAUGUAGUUGGUGGAAUCUAAGGGGAUUUGACAGGAUGGACAGCCAGUGAAGUCGUCCUCCACUGAGGCAACAGUGUUAAGAGUUCCUACACAGAGGAACUCUUCUGUCCCAAUUCAGAGCGUGACUUUGGAGUGUCUGGCUCCCACCCGUGUGUCUUGAUGGAGAUGCAAUUUGGUGAGAUAGUCUUUCAUUAUGAAGGAAUGAGGGUAUUAAAUAUCAUUAAUUAAUUGUUAAUUUCAUGAUUCUCUUCCUGAUCAUUGUGAUAACCAAAAAUUAAUAGAUUGCCUCUACACUGAUUUUCAAGAGCCACCAAGCAGAGGCUCCACUUUGUGAAGAAUCCUUGCUAAAGGUUGAAAAGCAAAGCAACACACACCAAGCUUGCUGCCUUUGAGGCUGGAGAGCCUCGUGGUUAGGAAUACUUGGCGCUCUUGCAGAGGAGCUGGGUUUGACUCCCAGCACCCACAUGGUGGCUCACAGUCGUCUGUAACCCCACUCCUAAGAAUUCUGGUGCUCUUUCCUGGCCUCUGCAGGCACUACACAGGGGGCACAAGACAGCUAUUCAGAAAACCUACCCCCUGCCCCCAACCAAACUAAUUAAUGAAUUUAAAUAAUUUUUAAAAGCUUGUUGAUUCCUAGCAUGAAAGGAUUCAUCUGAGCAGGAGAAGCAGUGGUCAGGAGGAAGUGGACCAGUGAGAAGGGAGUGUGCUAAGGCCCUGGGUCCCACCCACCCUGGGUCCAGGCUCACUGGGGAACACUCCGGAGAUGAUUGUGGUGUGAGUCCUUCACUCUCACAGUAAGUGUGAGGCUGAGCAGAAAGACAAGAACAGCUGGCACUCAGCUCAGUGGACAGUGGCCUUCCUCCUUGCUGGAGAACAAAUGGAAGCCAAGGCAACACACCCUUCCUAACUGAACUCCAGGGAGAAUUCUUGCUCGGAUGAGAGAGGCCAAUGUGAUGUGGAGGAGCAGAGCUGGUGUAGCAGCAAGGCCAUUUCUUGCCCAUCAGUGUUGACAAAUCUUAUGUUGUGCACACACAGACCAGCCAUGAUGCUCACUACCUUGGCUCCUUUCCCAUCAAGACUCCAGAAGGAACCAUGUGUGCUUCGUGCAGGAUAGGGGAAAACCAAGCCUCACUCAUAGGGGUUAUGAAGGCCAAUGUAGAAUCAGAAAACUCCAGUUUCAAACUCAAUGUUUGACCAAACAUUAUGAGCUUGGGAUAUUAAAUCAGUUAAUCUCUCUGAAGCUUGGUUUGCUCUCUUAAUAAAAUGGGCAUUAAAAUUUAUUCUCACAGAAAUGUUCUAAAGAUUAAAAUCUUUCACCAGCAUUUGGCAAAUGCAUACCAGAUGAUGAGUGAUAAAGAUGGAGGUGCUGAUGUUGCUGGUGAUAAGGAUGAUGGUGGUGAUAUGGAGAUAUGAGAGAUAGUGGUGAGAGAGUUGAAAGUGGUGGAGUGAUGGUGGUGAUGAUAAUGACAGGAAUGGUGAUAGUAGUAGUGACAGUUCAUAACAAAGGCUGUGGUUACAGAGUUGGUGAUAAUGAUAAUGGGAUGAUUGUCGUAGUGGCUGAUGGUGACAGGGAUGAUCAUAAUGGUGCUGGUGAAAGAGAUGAUGGCAGUCAUGAUGCUGGCAGUGAUGGGGUGAUAAUGGUCAUGGUGGACAACAGUGAUGAUGACAUCAGUGGUCAUGGUGCUGUUGGUGACAACUAACCCAAGAGAAAUGCUGUGGUCCUCUAACAAGUGAUUCCUCCCUAUCUUCCAAGCAAUGAGAUCAUCUGGCCAGGAUAAGGGGCAUAUCAUAUCUGUUUAUUUUUCUUCCUCUUCCCCCUUCCUCCACUUUUUCCUCUUUUCCUCUCCCAUUCUCUCUCUCUCUCUCUCUCUCUCUCUCUCUCUCUCUCUCUGUGUGUGUGUGUGUGUGUGUGUGUUGUGACAGGAACUCAUGUAACCCAAGCUGGCACUUCAACUCCUGGCACUCCAACUUCUGUGAAGUGCUAGGGGUCCUGGGGUUCACAGGCAUGUGCCAUCUCUCCUGGCUCAGGGGUGCGUCAUUUCAAUUCAGUAUUUAUGAAACUAUGCUAAGCCUUAGGAAUUGUAGAGCCCAAGAUAUGUCCUGUUCUCAGGGAGCUCAGGUUUCCAUGGAGCAGACAACACAAGAGAGACUGCUAGUGGAAUCGUGUGGUUGAUAGGAGAGGGGCUUUCACUUUGGACCAGGAAUAUGGCAAUUGAGCGAGAUCUUGUCAGACGUUCAAAAAAGCAAUGUACAAGAAAGCCAAGUGGCACAUACUCUACCCUUUGGGUGUGACAGGGAAAGGCCUUAGAAAGAAUUUGCAUUCUAUCCCUCCUGCAGUAACUUUGGAGAUUAGUGAUUAAUUUCUUUUUUUUUUAAGAUUGGGAGUUUCUGAGAACAUGGCAGCCAGUGUAUGUCUCUAUUGGAUAUAUAUAUCGAUUGCCUGUUUUUGUAGAGACAAAAGAAUAAGGGAAACUGAAAACUUUUUGUUUUGAGGAGCAAGACUUGAGUAGUUGGCAGGCUGUGUGUGAAGAAGCAAGUUUCAGAAAGCAAGAGAAUCUUGUCAUGGACGGACGGGGAGAGUCUGAACAUGUAGGGCAUUUGGGUGGAGACGCUGAGCAGGCGGCUUCCCUGGAGCCUUAGGGCUGAAAAUAAAGCUUUGAAUAUUGUUAGCCCAAGGGCAGCUAUUGAUGUGGGUGCAGAUAAUAGUUAAUAUAAAGACUAAAGAUACUAAUAUAAAGACUUAAGAUGUCAGGAAGAGGUGGAGUUUGAAGAAGAAGAUGGCCAAGGUCCAAUCCAGAGGGACUGUCAAUAGUUGUCUAGGAAAAGAAGAAAUGGUACUCAUAUUCGUCUGGGCAUGGCAGGGCAGUGGGGAGAGGGGCGGUACAAGGCUGUAUCACUGGGAAGCAGAGGGGUGAGUCAGGUGAAGGGUGAUCAUCUGGGACAUUUGCCUCGAAACUCAUCUCUUCCUGUGCCUUUGGUAUCAGAGGGUGAUGUGUCUCAUAAGCCAGGUCUGCCCAUUCUCCACAUGGCCAUCACCUUAGCUCAGGUCUCCACCAUUUUUACCAGUAGAAUGAAAUCUUGCCCAAAUUGACCUCUUUUUGUACCUCAUCUAACCUGUCUCUUGGAACUCUAGCACUAAGUCAAUCUGUUUGUUGGUUGGUUGGUUGGUUGGUUAGUUGGUUGGUUUGGUUUGGUUUGGUUUGGUUUGGUUUGGGUUUUGUUUUUUGACACACAUCUAAUCUUGACACUGACUUCCCUAAGCCCCACCUCUCAGACACACUCUGAACAGAGUAAAGCUCUCUCAUGACCAAGUGUGAAUGCUUUGGUAAAAUACCAGGGACUUUUACUGCCGUAGUCACCAUGUAGUCCCCAGGUUCCAUUUCUUACCACAUCCUAUACCUUUUAACCUUACAAUGAAAUGGCUGUGGGUUCCACAGCUAAGUCACACCCUUCAGCUGCGGAGCGGUUAUCCACUCUAUCUCCACCUAAGUCAUGCCCACUUAUCUUAAGGCAUUAGCUGUGGGCUUCAUAUACACUCCCCCAAAUAAUUAAGAACCUCCACCCCUCUGCAUUGCAUCUUGACUUAAAAAUCUUUCUCUUGUUUAGAGUCUCUCAAGCCCAAACAAAUCCUGCCCUCUGACAGCAGCGGUGUGGUCCAGAACAUAUAUGGAAAGGAAGCAUGCUUAGUGUUUGUCAGGAAACCUCUCUACCCACACUUUAUCUUUUCCAUUGCCCUCCAGUGCUCAUUGGCGGACAACCCCACUAGAGUACAAAGGGCCUCCAGGGAUGGCAAAGUUUAUGAGCAGCAUCUUGAUCCAUCUGCUGUCACCCCUCCCAUAAAAACAAGUACAUCUUCACAGAUGACGCUGGAAAGCAGUUAAGAAGAGAGUGUGCCAAUCCCAGUUGGAGCCAUAGCACUCCAGCAGUCAAACAACAAACAGGGCAAAGUGAGAUACAUCACUGAGCACUUGUGGGAUGCUAGGGAUCCUUGUUACCAAGGUGACCAAACAUCCUGGCUUGCCCAGGAGAGGCCUGGUGUGGUUUUUGCUGUCCUAGUAUAAUUAAUAGCUUCCUCUUUGUCUCUCAAAACUGGCUCCAUUUGGCUUUUCAAUUUUAGGGUGAUUGUGAUUGUUAACUGUCAUCAAAGAGAGAACAGAUUAAAGACAAACUGUAACUGAUCUUCUACCUUCUGUUCUGUUAAAGUGGGCAACAGUCAGCCCUUUAAAUGACCCAAUUUUAAGCCUUACCCAGGAGCCCCACUCCAUUAUUUCCAUAUCAAUAUAUGGAAAUUCUGCUAUCCUCAACUGUGUUAAGUUCCUCACCAUGAACUGCAAUUGUCCAUUUCCUAACCCCACCAUGGGGAGGCAGUAUUGCAUAGCCAUCAUGAGCAUGGGGUUAAAUGCUAAGGUCUUAGGGUUUGGAGCAAAAUCAUGGUCCAGGAAAUGUACAGAUCACUGAGUAGGGCAGAGAUAGCGGAGCUGGCCACACUCAGAGUGCUAACUUUAAUGGCAGUGAAUCCCAAGCACAGCGCCUGCUGCUUAGUAAAUACUCAGUACAGGAGGAAUCUUAGUUAUUAGCCUGUCAAUUCCAAAAAGCAGACCAGGUAUGUGUGGCUGACUGACUGACUGAAUGAUAUUUUGUAAAGAAGCUCGAGAAGAUGAAGACAGAGAAGAUGUUUAAAAAGAAACAAAGGCAUCAAGGCCGGGAGAAGAUCCAGCGGUGCUCAUUGUCCAGCCUGACAGCCUAACAUUAAGAAUGAUUUUGUUCCUUGGGACUCGUGGUAGGGUAGAACCAGCUCCUGCAAGCUGUCUGCUGAUCUCCACUCUUGCACUGUGGCACAUGUGUGCUCCCUCAGAGAAGCAAAUGUAAUACUUUAAAAAAAAA